Molecule: non-coding RNA, 134 nt
Organism: Triticum aestivum (bread wheat)
Lineage: Eukaryota; Viridiplantae; Streptophyta; Magnoliopsida; Poales; Poaceae
Source: Rfam
GUUCUACUUAUUCCAUCCCAAAAUUCUUGUCUUAAAUUUGUCUACACGCGGAUGUAUCUAGUCACGCCUAGUGUUAGAUACAACCGUAUCUAAACAAAUCUAAGACAAGAAUUUUGGGACGGAGGUAAUAUUAU